GAUGAACGCUGGCGUCGUGCCUAAUACAUGCAAGUCGAGCGAACGGACGAGAAGCUUGCUUCUCUGAUGUUAGCGGCGGACGGGUGAGUAACACGUGGAUAACCUACCUAUAAGACUGGGAUAACUUCGGGAAACCGGAGCUAAUACCGGAUGAUAUUUUGAACCGCAUGGUUCAAAAGUGAAAGACGGUCUUGCUGUCACUUAUAGAUGGAUCCGCGCUGCAUUAGCUAGUUGGUAAGGUAACGGCUUACCAAGGCAACGAUGCAUAGCCGACCUGAGAGGGUGAUCGGACACACGGGAACUGAGACACGGUCCAGACUCCUACGGGAGGCAGCAGUAGGGAAUCUUCCGCAAUGGGCGAAAGCCUGACGGAGCAACGCCGCGUGAGUGAUGAAGGUCUUCGGAUCGUAAAACUCUGUUAUUAGGGAAGAACAUAUGUGUAAGUAACUGUGCACAUCUUGACGGUACCUAAUCAGAAAGCCACGGCUAACUACGUG
This 497-nucleotide ribosomal RNA is filed under the name uncultured bacterium. Its description in RNAcentral is "partial 16S ribosomal RNA". It matches the Rfam family "Bacterial small subunit ribosomal RNA", at positions 28 to 507 of the family's 1533-position model. The record is from RNAcentral.